Molecule: ribosomal RNA, 266 nt
Filed under: uncultured prokaryote
Description: partial 16S ribosomal RNA
Rfam family: Bacterial small subunit ribosomal RNA
Source: RNAcentral
UACGUAGGGUGCAAGCGUUGUCCGGAAUUACUGGGUGUAAAGGGAGCGCAGACGGAACUGCAAGUCUGAUGUGAAAGCCCGGGGCUCAACCGCGGGACUGCAUUGGAAACUGUAGAUCUGGAGUGCCGGAGGGGCAAGCGGAAUUCCUGGUGUAGCGGUGAAAUGCGUAGAUAUCAGGAGGAACACCGGCGGCGAAGGCGGCUUGCUGGACGGCAACUGACGUUGAGGCUCGAAAGCGUGGGGAGCAAACAGGAUUAGAUACCCGU